This is an RNA transcript of Rosa rugosa (rugosa rose), 5758 nucleotides long. It is a transcript of the gene named calcium-transporting ATPase 8, plasma membrane-type-like, with no coding region annotated. The record is from RefSeq and is a predicted model, not a curated record. Lineage: Eukaryota; Viridiplantae; Streptophyta; Magnoliopsida; Rosales; Rosaceae. The transcript is spliced from 41 exons.
CAUCUUUUCUCGAUCUCGAUCUGUGACUUGAAAUAAGUGGAGACCUCUUUAGCUCUCCAAGGUUCAUCUGCAAACUUCCAACCUCAACUUCUUUUCAAUUUGUCCUGCGACAGUUUUAGAAACGAGUUAAUUAAUCAGCUUUCAUGGAGCUUAAUCUCAUGGAAACUAUUUAAGGAUGCAGGCACUCAGUUUACUUUCAAGUUCAACUUGGACGCCAAGUGCUCGUCCGCCAAUAUGGCCAUCCAUCCGGUCCUUCUGUUGAUCAUUCUUGAACCAGAUGUCUUCCACCGCAAGAGAUCGAAAUUCCAUUCAUAAAUUCAGUGCGUACCGGAGUAAAACCGAUCCAUAUCCAAAGCUUGAAGCAAGCAUCAAUCUUUCCCCAUUCAGUCAUCCGACCAUGUUACUUGUUAAAGACUACGGAGCAUAUUCAUGGUUUUACCUAGUUUGGUACUUUGUGGAAAUGGUUAAUUCCCAACUUAAUUUUGAAUGCCGAGACAUUCGAACCAGUAGCGGGAAGUGACAGUACGUUAUCUGGUAAGAUAUAUGUUAAUUGGUGAGAAAGAGCUAAGAAAUGCACCUUCACAAUCUGAAACCAUAUUGAAGCUGCCAACCACGUAAACUUUUACUUCAAUCCUCAUAACGUUCUGAUCUUUGUGGUUAUCUGCAUAUGUGGGUGUUUAGCAGAUUUGUUAGAAACCAAGUCCGACAGCGGAAGUCAUAGACAUUCUUCAUAGGGUAAUUACCCUAAGCUCAAGCUGACCUAAACUACAUUGGAUUUGACCUCAAAGUCAAAGGAUGGGUAUGAGAAAGUCUACCUGAAAUGGAAAGCAUCGAUUAUGGAGUCCACAACUUCAACUGAUCAUAAUGAAAUGGAUCCAAGAGGUUCAAGAGCUGAAAGAGCUCUCAAAGAACAUUGUUGGUACCUUUAAAUGAGAAGCAGAAGCUCCCUAAGAGGCACUCAAGGAGCUAGCGCUGCAACAAAGCGCACAACGAUUUUAACAUAGACCUAAGAGGUCCCAGAGAUUGCAGCCCACAAGAUGUCGAUCAAAGAGAGAGUUGUAUCCAAGAGGUCCUUCGAGUUCUACUAUAAGGUGCCUGAACAUUGAACCCAAGAGUUCUAUGAUACCCAAGAAGUAGCUAAAGAUUGGAACCUACAGGUCACUAAAGUGGUAUCGAAAAUUGGACCCAAGAGGUCUGAAGUUGCACCCAAAAGACUCAUGAACAGGUUCCACCCCAGAAGUGCCUAAAGAGCUUGGACCCAAGAGUCUCUGAAGUUGCACCCAUAAGAUGCAUGAAUUAAGUAGUUCCAACCUGGAAGUGCCUGAAAAGCUUGGACCCAAGGGGUCCAAAGGCUGCACCCAAAAGUCCAAAUUUGCACCCAUGAGGUCACUAAAAGUCUAAAACAAAUAUACGAAAGUGAGAACCAAAGAUGUCCUUUGAGUGGGAGCCAAGAGGUCAAGCUCUAUGAAAGCUGGGUGCAAGAAGAUCAAAUAUGCUGACCAGGCAAACUUUAGAUGAACAAGAAUUGAUCGAAGUACCCAACCUUGUUGUGGUACUUCUUCUAAUUAGUCCAAAAAGACGUUUGCCUCGAGGCAAGAAAAGAUUGGUUAGGCUUGAAGUCCCGCAGAGACCUAAAUCUCAAUUUUACUUGGAGGUAACUCUCUCCACACUCCCAAGGGGUGUUACUUCACAAUCCAAGGAAAUUUACUUCUCAAAGCAUAAGAAAUAUGUAUACUUUUCUCCAGAUCCUGAUGGCAAGCUAGGAACUUUUCUUGCAAUCUGUUGGAAAGAUCUUCCCUCGCGUUGACAAAUUUCUUCCCUCGCGUCGUCACACAAAGAAGGUGAUGAUGCUGGACAAUGGUCAUGGAUCUUUUGUGGUCAAUCAUGGAUAGAAGACAUGGAAUAAACUGUCGCUGUCGCCACGUACUUAGCUAUCGUGUUUUGAUGUUCUUGCAAAAUCCAGAUUUUUUUUACUUCAGAGGAACGCGGUAUUACGUAAUCAAGUAAACCCUACUUGCUACCACCGUGGCAAGUCUUGGGUAUAAAGUGCAUUGUAGCAAGGAUUUCUCAUUUCCACUUUCUCGGUCUGAAGACAGCAUCAGUUGCAUCCAUAUCGGUGUUCUUGGUCUGGAGAGGAGACUACAACACCGGCUCACAGAAGGAUGAAUCACUCAAUUGGGUUGCCUUAUAACCCAAGCAAUGACUUGGAGACCGGUCUGAAGGAGGAUCAUGUUGAGCGCAUGAACCGGUGGACGCAAGCGAAACUAUAUCUGAAAGCAUUGCACCGAUUCCGUCACACACUAGUCCUGAAAAAGGCAGAAGAAAAGAAGCAGGCAGCACGGAAACUACUUAGAGCACAUACCCAAGCCCUACGAGCUGCGGCUAUCUUCAAAGAAGUUGCAGAUCAAGUGAAAGGGUCUGGUGAUUAUUUUCCAAUUGAACCAGAUGAACUUGCUCGUUUGACGAGGAGUAGUGAUGUUGAUGCUCUGCAGCAAUAUGGGGGGAAGGAAGGCUUGGCAGAUUUACUGAAAACAGAUUUAGACAAGGGAAUUGAUGGGGAUGAUUUACUAAAGCGGACAAUUAAAUUUGGAUCAAACAUAUAUCCUCCAAAAACAGCAAUGAGCCGCUGGACAUGUCUUCGGGAAGCUCUGUACGAUUUUACUCGGAUCGUUUUGGUGAUUGCUUUUAUGGGUUCUGUUGUGAUGGGUAUUCUGGAAGAGACUAAAAAGCUGGGAUGGCACGAUGUGUUCAGCGUUGCUAUUGCAGCUGCCAUGUUCAUUCUUAUCACAGUCUUAUCUGAGUAUAUUCAAGCUCGUCAGUUCCAGCAUAUGAUUAUCACGGAGGAAAUCAGAAACAUAAAAUUGAAGGUUAUUAGAGCUGGUCGACAAGUUGUGGUUUCUAAUUGUGAUAUUGUUGUUGGUGAUGUUCUACCUCUUAAGACUGGUGAUGAGGUCCCUGCUGAUGGCAUUUUAAUCCGUGGUCGCUCACUUGCAAUUGAUAAGAGUAGAGUCACUGGAGAGAGCAAGAUUUUUCACAAGGAUUCAAGGAACCCAUUUCUACGAUCUGGCUGGAAAGUAGCACAUGGCAGUGCUACUAUGCUGGUAACUGGGGUUGGGAAAUGUACUGAAUCAGGAAUUCUCAGGGCUAACACUUAUUCAAAAGACACCGAGAAUAAAACCCCCUUGCAGGUGCUUUUAAAGGAGGUUGCUACUUUCAUGGGUGCUGUCGGAUUCAUGGGUGCUGCCAUUGUUGCAUAUGUUGUUUGGUUCAGAGACUUCUUUACUGGUGAUAAUUCAUCAAAUGGAAGUCCUGAACCUGGAAGUACACUUGAAGAAGUGAUUAGAAUUAGUACCAUUGCAGUUGCCAUUUUUGUCGUUGCAUUACCUGAAGUGCUUCCUUCAGCUUUCAACAUAAGCCGUCUCAGCACAAUGAAAAAGAUGAAGGCAGACAAUGCCUUGGUGCGGAGGCCAGCUGUAUGUGAAACCAUGGCCUUAUGCAAUGAUGCACUUUGUGACAAGACUGGAAUAACUUUGAACCAGAUGACUGUUUCUGAGGCCUAUGCUGGUGAGAAGAAAAUCAAUUUUGCUGACAGCACAAGCAACUUGUCUCCGAUACUAUCGUCCUUACUUGUUGAAGGAAUUGCUCAGAAUACGAGUGGCAGUCUAUCUGUGCUUGGGAGUGGUGAUGUUCAGGCUUCCGGAUCACCAAUUGAUAGGGCAAUUCUGCAUUGGGGAGUCAAGCUGGGAAUGAAUUUUGAUGAUAUAAUGUCUCAGUCUCCAGUUAUGCAAGUUUUGCCAUUCAGUUCAGAGAAAAAACGAGGUGGUGUUGCACUUAAUCUGACACAUGGUCGAGUUCAUGUACACUGGAAAGGGGCAGCUGAAGGAGUCUUGGCCUCAUGCACAAGAUACAUUGGGGCUAAUGAUCAGGUUUUACCAAUGGAUGAUGAGAAGUUAACAUUUUUUCAAAAAGCUAUCGAGGAUAUGGCUUCUGGAGGUUUGCAUUGCGUUGCUAUUGCAUAUAGAUCACUUGAGUUGGAAAAUGUUCUAAUCAAUAGUAAUGGACAACUAGCGCAGUGGGAACUACCUGAGGAUGACCUCAUUUUACUAGCUGUUGUUGGUAUGAAGGAUGAUAGUCAACCGGGGAUCAAGGACUCGGUGGAAAUAUUGCAAAGAGCUGGCAUUAAGGUACGCCUUGUUACGCAUGACAAUCCUCAAACUGCAAAAGCAAUUGCUAAGGAAUGUAGCAUACUUGCUUCUGAUGGGUCAGAUGUUAGUGAGGAAAAUCUUAUUGAAGGAAAAGUGUUCCGAGAACUUUCUGAUAGUCAGAGAGAAGGAUUAGCAGAGAAGAUUUUGGUAAUGGCACGGUCUUCCCCCAAUGACAAGCUUUUGCUUGUGCGAGCACUGCAGAAAAGAGGAAAGAUUGUUGCUGUCACUGGAUAUGUCAGUAAUGAUGCUCAUGCAUUACAUGAGGCCGACAUUGGUCUUGCUAUGGGUAUUCAAGGGACUGAAGUUGUUAAAGAGAGUUCAGAUAUCAUAAUCUUGGAUGACAAUUUUGCUACAGUAGCCAAGUGUUUUAGAUGGGGACGAUCGAUGCAUGAAAAGGUUCUGAAAGUUAUGCAGCAGCAACUUACAGUCAAUAUUGUAGCAGUAACCAUAAACUGCAUGGCGGCAGUUUACUAUCGUUACAUCCCGCUCAAUGCUGUGCAGUUUGUGUGGGUGAAUCUUAUCAUAUUUGGUCUUGGACCACUAGCACUGGCUACUGAAUCUCCGGCUGAUCACCUGAUGAACGUACCCCCUAUUGACCGAGGACAAACUCUUAUAAAAUAUAUUCAGUGGAAGAGACUGUUGACACAGGUUCUGUACCAAAUUAUUGCCCUGCUUGUCAUCAAUUUUCAAGGAGGGAGUUUACUGAAAAAUGAUACCAGAGACCAUGCCACAAAAAUGAAGAAUACAAUGAUAUUCAACACAUUUGUUGUUUGUCAGAUUUCCAUUGAAUUCGGAGUUCGAAAGACUGGUAUAGUGGACCAUCCUUUGAAAUGGAUUACUGCUAACUCUGUGUUUCUGGGAAUAGUUGGAAUAAUUCUUUUGAUUCAGUUUAUCAUCAUUGAGUUUCUUGGAAAGGCGUUUUUCUUAGUCAGGCUUGACUGGAAAGAGUGGGAGUUUUCGCUGACUCUUGGCAUUGUCGAGUUGUUGUUUGCACUGCUUCUAUUUCUGAAGGACCUGGCACAAAGGAAUCUUAAUUAAGAUCCUAUGUCGGUGAUGUUUAAGAUUUGAAGGUUCCAUACAUCUUCAUGAAACUUAUGUGCAGUGGAGUUGCGGGAAAUUGGAAGUUUGGUGUCAAAGGGUCUGCCUGUCACCUACUGCUCUCGCUCUUGAUUUUGAAGUUGCCAAAUUCUGAGGAGUGGAUAUCAAUCCGUAUACAGUCCCUCUAACCAUAUUUUCUAAAUAAUCGAGGGUCAAUCCGAAUUGGUCUUGUUAAAGAUCCGCUACAGACUGAAUACGUUUAUUUUUCAAAUGAUUCAUAUCAUCAAGCGUACCAUUCCAUAUUUCAUUCCAAUCAAAUGAUCUGCAGCUGCCAAAAUUUCUCGCGGUAACAAAAAUGUAUAUGGAGGGGAAAACAAAAAACAAAAAAAGGAACUGUCGAGUAUGGGAGAACAAAAACUGAAAAUUCCAGUGAUAAUAUUGAUCUUCAUGACUUCUUCUAGACUCAGCAAUAUGAGACCUAUGACGAGUUUCCCGGUUAGAUUUUGGGUGUUAUA